Molecule: ribosomal RNA, 349 nt
Filed under: uncultured bacterium
Lineage: Bacteria
Description: bacterial SSU rRNA
Rfam family: Bacterial small subunit ribosomal RNA
Source: RNAcentral
ACAGAUCGUUCAGAGUUUGAUCCUGGCUCAGGAUGAACGCUAGCGGCAGGCUUAACACAUGCGAGUCGAGGGGCAGCAUGACACGGAGAUUCGUCGAAGUGUUGAUGGCGACCGGCGCAAGGGUGCGUAACGCGUGAGCAACUUGCCCGCUUCAGGGGGAUAACCGGUGGAAACGCCGACUAAUACCCCAUGGCAUUGGCUGGAGGCAUCUCCGGCCAAUUAAAGAAAUUCGGAAGCGGAUAGGCUCGCGUGACAUUAGCUAGAUGGCGGGGUAACGGCCCACCAUGGCGACGAUGUCUAGGGGUUCUGAGAGGAAGGUCCCCCACACUGGAACUGAGACACGGUCCAG